RNAcentral lists this ribosomal RNA (705 nucleotides) under Rhodococcus sp. (in: high G+C Gram-positive bacteria). RNAcentral describes it as "bacterial SSU rRNA". It matches the Rfam family "Bacterial small subunit ribosomal RNA", at positions 24 to 746 of the family's 1533-position model. Lineage: Bacteria; Bacillati; Actinomycetota; Actinomycetes; Mycobacteriales; Nocardiaceae. The record is from RNAcentral.
UCAGGACGAACGCUGGCGGCGUGCUUAACACAUGCAAGUCGAGCGGUAAGGCCUUUCGGGGUACACGAGCGGCGAACGGGUGAGUAACACGUGGGUGAUCUGCCCUGCACUUCGGGAUAAGCCUGGGAAACUGGGUCUAAUACCGGAUAUGACCUCCUAUCGCAUGGUGGGUGGUGGAAAGAUUUAUCGGUGCAGGAUGGGCCCGCGGCCUAUCAGCUUGUUGGUGGGGUAAUGGCCUACCAAGGCGACGACGGGUAGCCGACCUGAGAGGGUGACCGGCCACACUGGGACUGAGACACGGCCCAGACUCCUACGGGAGGCAGCAGUGGGGAAUAUUGCACAAUGGGCGAAAGCCUGAUGCAGCGACGCCGCGUGAGGGACGACGGCCUUCGGGUUGUAAACCUCUUUCAGCAGGGACGAAGCGCAAGUGACGGUACCUGCAGAAGAAGCACCGGCUAACUACGUGCCAGCAGCCGCGGUAAUACGUAGGGUGCAAGCGUUGUCCGGAAUUACUGGGCGUAAAGAGUUCGUAGGCGGUUUGUCACGUCGUUUGUGAAAACUCACAGCUCAACUGUGAGCCUGCAGGCGAUACGGGCAGACUUGAGUACUGCAGGGGAGACUGGAAUUCCUGGUGUAGCGGUGAAAUGCGCAGAUAUCAGGAGGAACACCGGUGGCGAAGGCGGGUCUCUGGGCAGUAACUGACGC